UACGGAGGAUGCAAGCGUUAUCCGGAAUGAUUGGGCGUAAAGCGUCCGCAGGUGGCUGUGUAAGUCUGCUGUUAAAGAGUGAGGCUCAACCUCAUAAAGGCAGUGGAAACUACAUGGCUAGAGUGCGGUCGGGGCAGAGGGAAUUCCUGGUGUAGCGGUGAAAUGCGUAGAGAUCAGGAAGAACACCGGUGGCGAAAGCGCUCUGCUAGGCCGAACUGACACUGAGGGACGAAAGCUAGGGGAGCGAAUGGG
RNAcentral lists this ribosomal RNA (252 nucleotides) under uncultured bacterium. RNAcentral's name for it is "partial 16S ribosomal RNA". It matches the Rfam family "Bacterial small subunit ribosomal RNA", at positions 524 to 776 of the family's 1533-position model. The record is from RNAcentral.